RNAcentral lists this ribosomal RNA (387 nucleotides) under uncultured bacterium. RNAcentral's name for it is "bacterial SSU rRNA". It matches the Rfam family "Bacterial small subunit ribosomal RNA", at positions 29 to 417 of the family's 1533-position model. The record is from RNAcentral.
ACGAACGCUGGCGGCGUGCUUAACACAUGCAAGUCGAGCGGUAAGGCCCUUUCGGGGGUACACGAGCGGCGAACGGGUGAGUAAUACGUGGGUGACCUGCCCUCAGCUCUGGGAUAAGCCUGGGAAACUGGGUCUAAUACUGGAUAUGACUCCACGGUGCAUGUCGUGGGGUGGAAAGCCUUGUGCGGCUGAGGAUGGGCCCGCGGCCUAUCAGCUUGUUGGUGGGGUGAGGCCUACCAAGGCGACGACGGGUAGCCGGCCUGAGAGGGCGACCGGCCCACACUGGGACUGAGACACGGCCCAGACUCCUACGGGAGGCAGCAGUGGGGAAUCUUGCGCAAUGGGCGAAAGCCUGACGCAGCGACGCCGCGUGAGGGAUGACGGCCU